UAAGAAGGGGGCUAGCGAUGUUCGGAAUAACUGGGCGUAAAGCGCACGUAGGCGGAUUUGUAAGUCAGGGGUGAAAUCCCGGGGCUCAACCUCGGAACUGCCUUUGAUACUGCAAGUCUAGAGUCCGGAAGAGGUGAGUGGAAUUCCUAGUGUAGAGGUGAAAUUCGUAGAUAUUAGGAAGAACACCAGUGGCGACGGCGGCUCACUGGUCCGGAACUGACGCUGAGGUGCGAAAGCGUGGGGAGCAAACAGG
This 253-nucleotide ribosomal RNA is filed under the name uncultured bacterium. RNAcentral's name for it is "partial 16S ribosomal RNA". It matches the Rfam family "Bacterial small subunit ribosomal RNA", at positions 524 to 776 of the family's 1533-position model. The record is from RNAcentral.